Long non-coding RNA from Tachyglossus aculeatus (Australian echidna), 1084 nucleotides. RefSeq lists it as uncharacterized. The transcript has 2 exons. The record is from RefSeq and is a predicted model, not a curated record. NCBI's taxonomy places the organism in Eukaryota, Metazoa, Chordata, Mammalia, Monotremata, Tachyglossidae.
UCCACGGGGCUGGCGGAGCUCGUCUCGCUGAAGGCGUCGGAGCCUCCGAUGGAUCUUUUAAAAACCUUCUGACCUGGACGGCAGGCUCUGCCAAGUUCCACGUUAAAAUCAGGACCUCUAACCGCUCCUCCUUCCCGGGUCGAAGCGGACCCCGGAGCCGCUAAUUACCUGCCGACGUCAUCAGCGGGCUGAAGCGCACACACGUGCCCUCGUCUUCCAGUUCCACCACGUCGACUCCGCUGGCGGGGACCGACUGGGCCAGCUGCUCGCCGAGCUGGAGGGUCAAAGGAGGGUGAGCGGGGCCCAGGCACGCAAGUAGUAGUAGCAGGAGCAGCGGCGGCAUUUAUCGCGAGAGUCCACUUGGUGCUGUGCACUGUACUAGGUGCUUGGGAAGUACAGAAAAGCCAAGUGACAGGUCUCCUGCCCGCCAGCAGCUUCACGCUUUUCCCGGGGGGGCUGGCAGACAGAAAAAGAGGCCCCGUCAGAGUGGGCCUGAGGCGGAAACAGCCCAGACUUACCCACUGGUUAAAUGCGUCAUGGAGGUCUCUCUCCCGGCUGGCUGCCGGGUCUGGGGGUCCCGGUGGCGCGGUGCCCGCCUUUUGAUCUAAUCCCAAAACAAAGACACGAGCGUGACGCCCAGAAACCCGUACAACGUACGUGGGGAGCUAAUCCAGGAAGGCGAUGGCAAGCGCCCCGGAAGGCUCGCUUCCCACUUGGCCUCGCGGGAAGAAAACUUCGGCUUCCGCCGCGUUUUUAACACUGAGUUAACCAGGACGUCUGGCUGUCCCAGGAACGGACGCUCGACGGCAGACAAGCGGCGCUGAAGGGGGAAUUUACGUUCGGAGGGUUACAAAGUCACGGUGGAGGACAACUCCAUCACUUUGACAGUUGGCGUGAGAGUCCCGCCUACACACAGACUUGAGAACUGGAGAGAAAUGAAAUGGGAAUGCUUUUUAAUCUCAGGGCCUGACAACGUUCUCCUCUAGAUCACUCACCUAACCUUGAAAAUUCCUGAGAAAAUUUGAAUACCACCACUGGAGAGUUGAGCUCAUCUUCCACCUGAAUAAACAAAAGUCUGAUGUUA